RNAcentral lists this ribosomal RNA (301 nucleotides) under uncultured bacterium. RNAcentral describes it as "partial 16S ribosomal RNA". It matches the Rfam family "Bacterial small subunit ribosomal RNA", at positions 509 to 807 of the family's 1533-position model. The record is from RNAcentral.
CAGCAGCCGCGGGAAUACGAGGGGGGCAAGCGUUGUUCGGAAUUAUUGGGCGUAAAGGGUGCGUAGGCGGUUUGACAAGUCUUGUGUGAAAUCUCUGGGCUCAACCCAGAGUCUGCACGGGAAACUGUCGGGCUAGAGGAUGGGAGAGGUGAGUGGAAUUUCCGGUGUAGCGGUGAAAUGCGUAGAUAUCGGAAGGAACACCCGUGGCGAAAGCGGCUCACUGGACCAUUUCUGACGCUGAUGCACGAAAGCUAGGGGAGCAAACAGGAUUAGAGACCCCCGUAGUCCCUGUCUCUUAUAC